GACGAACGCUGGCGGCGUGCUUAACACAUGCAAGUCGAACGGAAAGGCCCUGCUUUUGUGGGGUGCUCGAGUGGCGAACGGGUGAGUAACACGUGAGUAACCUGCCCUUGACUUUGGGAUAACUUCAGGAAACUGGGGCUAAUACCGGAUAGGAGCUCCUGCUGCAUGGUGGGGGUUGGAAAGUUUCGGCGGUUGGGGAUGGACUCGCGGCUUAUCGGCUUGUUGGUGGGGUAGUGGCUUACCAAGGCUUUGACGGGUAGCCGGCCUGAGAGGGUGACCGGCCACAUGGGGACUGAGAUACGGCCCAGACUCCUACGGGAGGCAGCAGUGGGGAAUAUUGCGCAAUGGGCGGAAGCCUGAUGCAGCAACGCCGCGUGCGGGAUGACGGCCUUCGGGUUGUAAACCGCUUUCGCCUGUGACGAAGCGUGAGUGACGGUAAUGGGUAAAGAAGCACCGGCUAACUACGUG
Molecule: ribosomal RNA, 468 nt
Filed under: uncultured bacterium
Lineage: Bacteria
Description: partial 16S ribosomal RNA
Rfam family: Bacterial small subunit ribosomal RNA
Source: RNAcentral